AUGACAGAAUUCAAAGAUGUCGUAAGCAACUUAAUUGAGUCCCAAAAUGGCCUUUUUGUUUCAAUAUUAGACGAAGGUCAGAUUGAUUCAACACCUUUCAUUUGCAGUAUUUGUAGUCUAGUUUCAAAAUUGAAGCAGCCCAUGAAUUUUUGCUGCAUCGCGCAUCCAGCGUCGUAUUAUCAAUCGAAACUGACAAAACUUGGCGUGCAACUAGAUUUGAUGAAUUUCAUUGAUGUACUGAGCUGUUACGAUUAUUUUGAAGAUGACGUGUUUGCAAAAGUACUGCAAGGAACGAAAAUCGACGGAGUUUUCUUCUGUGACAACAUCAUGAAUCUGAUGACAUUGUCUUUCAAUAGCAAUAAGCUCCGGAAGUUCAUAGUGCAAAUAAGUGCUAUGUCCGAUUUAGUUGUAGUGGGAUGCUCACGUGAUCCUAUUUUCCCCGAUUUUGGGAAAUUCUUAGAGUUUUUGAAAUCGAGAAGUGACUCGGUCAUUGAACUUUUCACGAUGAGCGGAAGCACGGCUGCAGUUGGCGUCGAUGGUAAAAUGAGCAUCCGUUCGUGUACAGUUUCAGAUGACGAAGUUAAAGCGCAGCCAGUUGAGAAGGAACUGCUUUAUAAAGUUGUCGAUAGAACUGUUCUAGUUUAUCCGCUGGGUUUUGUUUGAGUGACCAGUAAAUUAUAAUUAAAGGAUGAAAGAACUAAGAAUUAACGUUUAUAUGG
Molecule: long non-coding RNA, 719 nt
Organism: Symsagittifera roscoffensis
Lineage: Eukaryota; Metazoa; Xenacoelomorpha; Acoela; Convolutidae
Exons: 2
Source: RefSeq, a predicted model, not a curated record